Molecule: long non-coding RNA, 2866 nt
Organism: Homo sapiens (human)
Lineage: Eukaryota; Metazoa; Chordata; Mammalia; Primates; Hominidae
Gene: DNAJC3-DT
Product: DNAJC3 divergent transcript
Source: Ensembl
GAUAGGAUAACGUGGAAGCACGAGACGAGGCUGCGCCCGCCGGUCGCAGAGCUGUCAGCAAGCUCCAAACCGCGGCUGCCGCCCGGAGGGAAGCAGACGGGGAGUCGGUGGCGGCCGCCGAGUCCGCAUGCGCAGGCUGCAAAGGCCCUUUUGGGCCGGUCCCGCCGCGCUAGGUUGGCGAGUGGGACUAUUUGAUCCUUUCCAGGUUCGCCAGCGUGGUGUUACGAGAGGAAAGCGCAGCCGCAGCGUACGAAUGGGAAGGCCAAACACGGUCCCGGGGAGUCUGAGGGAAGCUGCAGGGCGCCUGGAAUUGGGGUCUCGAGUGAGCCGGUAAAAACCGCCUCCCGCUGAGCGUCCCGGAACAAAUACUGUCUGAACUGAGCCGUAAGCAAGAAACGGUCAGGAGAAGCUGGGGCGAUCUGAUGAUUAGAACAUUUCAGGGACUACCAGAGAGAAGUGCGUAAUUGCUCUAAGGCAGGUAGGUAAUUGGCCUGGAAACUUGGGAACGCCCCGCCCCCCACCCCGACUUUCAGCAAACCACCGUGCCCAGGAAAAAGAGCGAUUGUGGAAGACCCUGUGAAGAAGAGACCAGGAAGGCACUGUGGCUUAAGAGAGCAAGGCGUUCCUGAAUGCAGCCAACAUCAACUGGUAAACAAAAAACUGUGAGAACGGAUCCUGAAUCUUGCGCUUACCAGGGGAAAUUCAGGAGAGAUAUGAACCUGAGCAAGAUGAGGUUGAAGUUACUCAAUGCGGCAUUAAGCCUGUUCACGGCCACUUCCUCCGGCGUCACCAACACACACACUGUACACCAGCAGUAUUUUUACACGGGGAAACAUUUCUAGGCUGGGCGCAGUGGCUCACACCUGUAAUGCUAGCGCUUUGGGAAGCCAAGAUGGGAGGAUUAUUUGAGGCCGGGAGUUUGCGACCAGCCUGAGCAACAUAGCAGGAUCCUGUCUCUGCAAAAAAAUUUAAAACUAGCCAGGUGCGGUGGCUCGUGCCUGUUGCCCUAGCUACUCAGGGAGACUGAGGCAGAGGAUUGCUUCAACCCAGGAGUUUGAGGUUGCAGUGAGCUAAGAUCAUGUCACUGCACUCCAGACUGAGCAACAGAGUGACACUUUAUAAAAAAAAAAAAAAAAAAAACUAGGUUUUUGAACUUGCUUAAUCAAAGAAUUUGUUUAAACUUUUAAGAUGCGUUGUCAGAUUAUCUUUCCCUAAAGGAAUAAUUUCUAUUCCUAUCAGCUGUUUAUAUUCCUGCCUAGUCACCAUCACUAGAUAUAAUUGAUUUUCAGUUUUUGCCAAUCUGAGGAACAAAAAAUGACCCUUAUAUGUCAAAUUUACAGUUUAUUUUCAAGGAUUUUGGGAUUCUGAUCAAAUUUUGGUACCUUCAUAUAAAAUUUGGCUUUUAUAUCACAUCUUGUCUUCUCUGCUUUCCACCCUCUUUUAUGUUGUUUUUUGGCUUCUGGCCGCAUGACUAUAAUCUCCGCUUUUGUAUUCACAUCACCUUCUGUCAUUUUUGACCUUGCCUCCGUCUUACAAGGAUCCUUGUAAUUAAUUAUAUUGGGCCUGCUGAGAUAAUCCAGGAUAUUCUUCCUACUCAAGUUCCUCAAUUUAAUCACAUCUGCAAAAACUGCCUUUUGCUAUAGAACAAUGACAGGAGAUUAGAAUGUAAACAUAUUUGGGGGACCGUUAUUCAGCUUAACACAAUACGUCCCCCUUCAUCAGGUGGAGCUUAUUUUCCCUCCUUCCUUGAGUGUGGGCUGGACUUAGUGACUAACUUCCAAAGAACAGAGUAUGGAAAGGGAGGAGGAGAGUAACUUCAUAGUACAGAAACCUGGAAACACUGUCUUGGCCAGGUGGUCAAAGUUAAUAUCAUCAAGUCAUGUUGAUAGCAUAUACUCCCAAUAUACUGUGAUGAGAAGGGCAAUUCACCUCUGUGGUAUUCUCAAAACCUAUAACCCAAUCUAGUCUAAACAUGAAAAAAAAAAAAUCAAACUAAAAUUGAAGGACAUUCUAUAAAACACCUGAUCAGUAUUCCUCAAAACUAUCAACGUCGUGGGGAACAAGGAAAGAUUGAAAUACUGUAACAGACCAGAGGAAACUAAGGAAACUUAAUUGAUGACUGAAUGCAGUGUGCUGUGUUGAACUGGAUCCUAGAGAAAAUAGACAUUAGUGGAAAAACUACUGAAAUAUGAAUAGUCUCAAGUUUAAUAGUAGUGUACCAUUAUUACUUUCUUAGUUUUGACAAAUGUACCAUGGUUAUGCAAGAUGCUAACAAUACAGAAAAAUAAGGGGUAUUUGGGACCUCCCUGUAUUAUCCUUAUGCCCUUACUUGAAAGUUGUUUCAGCAAUAGAAGUUUAUUUAAAAUAUUGUGAAGGGCCUGAGUAUUUUUAAAUCAACUGCAGUGACUCUCUUUUGUGUAUUUGUGUACAGAUGAGUUUUUCUGCAUCGAAUUUUAUCUCCUUUCCUUGCAGAAGAAAGAGAAUUAGCCCUUUACAGAGAUAACAGUUGCCUAAGCCAGCUCUUUUCUCCUCUUUUUGAUGUUCUUCUUUUUCUCUCAGUUUGAAAAUUGUAGGUUAUUUGAGUUUUUAAAAUGUCUAUUGCUACAUACACAUUCUAGUUAUAUUCUAGUCCAAACAAUCUAGUAAAAUAUCUAAAAGAAAAAUGCUGUUCACUGUAUUUUUUAUUUUUAAAAUGUGAGUGAGUGCAUUUAAAUAAUAGGUUGUGUUAUUAUAAUUAUGAGCUAAAAGUUUUGAAGUGUGAUUUAAAGAGUCUUUAACAUUACAAUUCUGGACUACAAAGUGUAAAAAUUGUAUUUUAAAAGAUUCAUGUACUGUUUCCGAUAAAUAGAUGAAUCUUUGAUCACUG